CCAGUGCUCAUCCCUCACAAGGAAUAGCUUCAGUCUGCUUUAAACACUGGGCCACACCCCAAAUCUCUACACGUCCUCUCGGUGUUUACCUGGAGACCCAAAGCUAUGAUGAUGAUUGACACCGUGUUUCCUGGCUGGGAGGUCCGUGGUUGCCCUGUCCCCAUGUGUAAGGAUCAAGGGAAGUGAUAACCUUCAUCCAGUACUAACGGAAGCAGAUGCAGAGAUCCACAGCUAAGCACUUUGUGGAGCUCCCGGAGUCCAGUUGAAGCAAAGGAGGAGAGAUUAUAUGAGCAAAGGGGACAAGAUCAUGAUGGGGAAUCCCACAGAGACCUGAGCUAAUGGGAGCUCACUGACUCUGGACUGACAACUGGGGAACCUGCAUGGGACCGAACUAGGCCCUCUGAAUGUGGGUGACAGUUGUGUGACUUGGACAAUUUAUGGGGCCACUGGCAGUGGCACCAGGAUUUAUCCUUCGUGCACGAACUGGCUUUU
Molecule: long non-coding RNA, 492 nt
Organism: Peromyscus eremicus (cactus mouse)
Lineage: Eukaryota; Metazoa; Chordata; Mammalia; Rodentia; Cricetidae
Exons: 3
Source: RefSeq, a predicted model, not a curated record